This 431-nucleotide unclassified non-coding RNA is filed under the name Hevea brasiliensis (rubber tree). Lineage: Eukaryota; Viridiplantae; Streptophyta; Magnoliopsida; Malpighiales; Euphorbiaceae. The record is from RNAcentral.
UCAUCCUCUCCAAUCCUAGCCAACCAGUUGUUUCCACUAACAUCCUCGUUAUUAUGAUCAGAGCUACCAUUAUUGUUGAUCAUACUACUUCCUACAGCAGAACCAGCUACAACCAGAGCAUUGAACUCUCUGCUCAUGGUGUUGAAGUUCUCACUUAAAGCUCCUUCACUACUCAUGGACGUCGAGUUUGACUGAUGGCUGCCAGUUUCCCAACGGCCCCGGGGGACGGGUGGCGGGUGUGGUGGUGUCAGGGCGUGGAUAUCACGGAUAUGUUCAUUUUCAUCAUGAUCACGGUGGUCGUGAUGACGGGUUUCUCCGCUAGUAGUGGCCGUGCUGGUCGUGGGUCCUUGAGCACUUAGCAUAGAGGGGGCUUUUAGCGUGUGCGUGGAAAGAGGGUAGAGAAGAGGGCUAUGAAAGAAUGGAAUUAUUAG